RNAcentral lists this unclassified non-coding RNA (304 nucleotides) under fungal sp. Its description in RNAcentral is "partial internal transcribed spacer region". The stretch from base 1 to 46 matches the Rfam family "Eukaryotic small subunit ribosomal RNA", at positions 1786 to 1831 of the family's 1831-position model. Lineage: Eukaryota; Fungi. The record is from RNAcentral.
AAGUCGUAACAAGGUUUCCGUAGGUGAACCUGCGGAAGGAUCAUUAACACUUUUUCCAAUAACUCCAAUUGAGUCCUACGGUUUUAAACAACCAUUUGGGCUCUCUUGGUUUUAACCCCAAUUUUGCGAACGAUGAUUUUCCAAAAUCAUUUUUCUCUUCUUUAUCCUCUUUUUUUUAUAUUUUUACCCCAAUUUUUACAAACUACAAGCCUGAUAUAAAAUCGCUUUUUCUUUUGAAAAAAAACUAAAAGCGACCGAAACCUAAUGGUUAAAACAACUCUUAGCAACGGAUAUCUUGGCUCUC